GGGACUAUGGCUUAGUGGUAGAGUGCUUGCCUAGUAUGCAUGAAGCUCUGGGUUCGAUUCCUCAGUACCA
Non-coding RNA from Dipodomys ordii (Ord's kangaroo rat), 70 nucleotides. Lineage: Eukaryota; Metazoa; Chordata; Mammalia; Rodentia; Heteromyidae. The record is from Rfam.